Molecule: long non-coding RNA, 463 nt
Filed under: Cricetulus griseus (Chinese hamster)
Lineage: Eukaryota; Metazoa; Chordata; Mammalia; Rodentia; Cricetidae
Description: lncRNA (ENSCGRG00015042667.1)
Source: RNAcentral
AUUUGUUAUAAUACGUUGUUUGGUUGGAACAUGGAAGGAAAUUUGGCUCCAUGAAGCCAUUAGAUGGAAAAAAGUGGCUCCUGUACAGACACCACGAAAGGAUCCUAGAGAUACCUGGGAUCUUCACAGCAGUAUUUGUGGGAACAAACUAAGAAAGGGAAAAAUAUAGAACAAGUUUGGUCCCACCAUCCCUAUCGAAAAAUACUGCUAAAUGACCUCAGAUCCUCUUCACUGUUCCUCGUGGUCAAUGAUAUCAUCUGAGAUUUUGAGUGUGGUAAAAUACAUCAUUUCCACUGAUUUCUCAAAAACAUGUCAAAUAUGUAAAGGUUGAAAACAAAACAACAAAACUGUCAGCCAUUGGACAAUCAUGACGCAGAUUUCAACAGCAAGAAGACAGUUAUGUUAGAAGUCACUCUUUAGAAACUUUGAUUUCUAAAGUUGUCCCUUUAGUCCCUUUCUAAAA